This 728-nucleotide ribosomal RNA is filed under the name Rhodotorula diobovata. Its description in RNAcentral is "LSU rRNA". It matches the Rfam family "Eukaryotic large subunit ribosomal RNA", at positions 1 to 736 of the family's 3401-position model. Lineage: Eukaryota; Fungi; Basidiomycota; Microbotryomycetes; Sporidiobolales; Sporidiobolaceae. The record is from RNAcentral.
UUGAUUAGAUCUCAAAUCAGGUAGGACUACCCGCUGAACUUAAGCAUAUCAAUAAGCGGAGGAAAAGAAACUAACAAGGAUUCCCCUAGUAGCGGCGAGCGAAGCGGGAAGAGCUCAAAUUUAUAAUCUGGCACCUUCGGUGUCCGAGUUGUAAUCUCUAGAAGUGUUUUCCGCGUUGGACCGCACACAAGUCUGUUGGAAUACAGCGGCAUAGUGGUGAAACCCCCGUAUAUGGUGCGGACGCCCAGCGCUUUGUGAUACACUUUCAAUGAGUCGAGUUGUUUGGGAAUGCAGCUCAAAUUGGGUGGUAAAUUCCAUCUAAAGCUAAAUAUUGGCGAGAGACCGAUAGCGAACAAGUACCGUGAGGGAAAGAUGAAAAGCACUUUGGAAAGAGAGUUAACAGUACGUGAAAUUGUUGGAAGGGAAACGCUUGAAGUCAGACUUGCUUGCCGGAGCUUGCUUCGGUUUGCAGGCCAGCAUCAGUUUUCCGGGGUGGAUAAUGACGGUUUGAAGGUAGCAGUCUCGGCUGUGUUAUAGCUUUCCGUUGGAUACGCCCUGGGGGACUGAGGAACGCAGCGUGCUUUUUGCGAAAGACUCGUCUUUUUCACGCUUAGGAUGCUGGUGGAAUGGCUUUAAACGACCCGUCUUGAAACACGGACCAAGGAGUCUAACAUGCUCGCGAGUAUUUGGGUGUCAAACCCGGAUGCGCAAUGAAAGUGAAUGUAGGU